UGCUGCCGCGUUCCAUCAUGUUGCCUCAUAGCUCCGAUGUGCACUUGCUUUAAGCGCCUCGUGCAAAAGAGCCAUCGAUCCUGGAGCUCAUACUGCUUGCGCCUACGAAGACAAUGUCGACUGUAUCGAAGGUCGAGUAUAGGAGAAGAAGUAGCAUUCUUAUAAUUUCUUCCACUGACGUCUGUCAGUGACAGCGACAGAAGCCACAACAGCAACUGUGGAUCUUAAGAGAAAUCUACACUUAUAGCAAAAAAAAAAGAAAGGACAGCAGCAGCACGAACUUUUCAGGAAUGACGCAGCGCCACUGAAACGAAAGAGCGCACUCAAAGCUCAGUGAAGAUACAAAGAGAGAGAGGAGGUUCCAUAGCUUAGCCGAAAAAAAAAUCUACAGCUCUUCUGCAGGGUAAAAUAGUAAUAGAGAGAAAAAAAAGAAGGCUGGCGUGUUAACAAGAAAGCUGCCUGGCCGGCUACCUUACGCUAGCGAAAGGAAACAGGGGAAUAUAAUUGUAAAAUUUGUUUGGUUUUAAACAGUAUAGGGCAAAUACGGCAAACCAUUGAAAGUUAUGCAGUAUCCUCGACUAAACUUGCCGUAUUUGCAACUGGGCUUUCAUGCGUUGGACGGCGACACUGGCACAGGUGGAGCGAAUUUCCUAUCAAAUAUCUCAAACUUUAUUUCUCUCACUUAGAGCCGCAGCAUUCACUAUACUCCGUUCCAUACAUAGCAGUCAACGCUGUGGAGGCUAGAGAGACAUCUUGCAGUGGCUUCGUUCGCACUUGGAUAUAGUUCGAUGUUUUUUGACGGUAAUUGUGCGCAACUGAUUUUUGUAUAGGCUAAGUAUUGAAUGAAUUAAGUUUUAAUCCUUAGAAACAUGCAUACUGUGGUAUAUGGCUGCUAAUUCGUUGUUCUAGAUCAUUUUUGUUUCUGUUUUUUUUUUUCAGGUUCUUUUAUUUGCAACCCGUCGCGAGGAGCCCCACGUGCAUGCUCGCGCGAGCGAACGCUGUUGGCGAGCAGCGAAGCACGGACGGAACGCGCGAAGGGAUAACUUUUCUUGACCGGACUUGCGUACCUUCCACAACGUUGACUGCUAUGUAUGGAACGGAGUAUACACUGCCGUUAACGAGACCAUGGCAAUCAACCGAGCAGCCCAUGAAGAUCUGACACUCCGAGCAGGUCCUUCAAAAUCUUUCAAACAUUCUUGAAAGGUUUGCGCUGCAAUCCGACAGACGAAGAUGCUGAAGAUAAUGUAAAAUAAAAAUGGACUGUUCUUGUU
Dermacentor andersoni is the source of this 1271-nucleotide long non-coding RNA. RefSeq lists it as uncharacterized. Lineage: Eukaryota; Metazoa; Arthropoda; Arachnida; Ixodida; Ixodidae. The record is from RefSeq and is a predicted model, not a curated record.